UCUUGAUUGCAGCCCAAACCCCAGGGCAGCCUUACAUGGGGGCUUUUGGCUACAGCUUCCUGCAUCAGAAGGCCAAAAUGUGGGGUGUAGUGUUUGGGUGUCUGUGACCAGAGCUGUAAACGAGAUGCCUCUCCGAAUAACCUGUGGGAGAUGAAAACUGAAAGGCUCCGGAGUCCCCACGGCAGAGACCAGAAGACCUCUGAGCAAGGUGUGGCCAAAAGAUCUAAGAACCGGCAUUUCUGACUCUAAAGCCUGUCCUGCCCCAACCCUCUGGCUGACGACUUGCAUGGGUCCCAGAUGGUCCCCAGGAUCCAGGUGGGUACACGUGUGGGGGCCUCAAUAAUCUGUGGCUUCGCGGGGCGCUCUGCUUCCUCCUUGGCUGAGCCUGGGUUGCUGUGCCAAGACCACCCCCCAGUUGUGGAAUCAGAGCAGAAUACAAGCGGUUCCAUGCGUAUGUCCCCUGGGAAGGUCCAUGUCCAACAAGAG
This is a non-coding RNA of Ictidomys tridecemlineatus (thirteen-lined ground squirrel), 486 nucleotides long. NCBI's taxonomy places the organism in Eukaryota, Metazoa, Chordata, Mammalia, Rodentia, Sciuridae. The record is from RefSeq and is a predicted model, not a curated record.